CCUACGGGAGGCAGCAGUGGGGAAUAUUGGGCAAUGGGCGAAAGCCUGACCCAGCGACGCCGCGUGAGGGACGAAGGCCUUCGGGUUGUAAACCUCUUUCAGCAGGGAAGAAGCGAAAGUGACGGUACCUGCAGAAGAAGCACCGGCUAACUACGUGCCAGCAGCCGCGGUAAUACGUAGGGUGCAAGCGUUGUCCGGAAUUAUUGGGCGUAAAGAGCUCGUAGGUGGUUUGCCACGUCGGAUGUGAAAACCUGAGGCUUAACCUCAGGCCUGCAUUCGAUACGGGCAGACUAGAGUGUGGUAGGGGAGACUGGAAUUCCUGGUGUAGCGGUGAAAUGCGCAGAUAUCAGGAGGAACACCGGUGGCGAAGGCGGGUCUCUGGGCCAUAACUGACACUGAGGAGCGAAAGCGUGGGGAGCAAACAGGAUUAGAUACCCUGGUAGUCCACGCCGUAAACGGUGGGCACUAGAUGUGGGGACCUUCCACGGUCUCUGCGUCGCNGCUACGCAUAGUGCCCGCCGUCGGGUAGGUACGGCCGGCGACGGACGUAAACCGUACGAAACGGAAAGUUAAGUACGGCGUUGAGUACGUUGCGAACGGACGACGACGAGGGAGGAGG
RNAcentral lists this ribosomal RNA (619 nucleotides) under uncultured bacterium. Its description in RNAcentral is "bacterial SSU rRNA". The stretch from base 1 to 520 matches the Rfam family "Bacterial small subunit ribosomal RNA", at positions 338 to 873 of the family's 1533-position model. The record is from RNAcentral.